CACUUGUCCCUAUCUGAUGCUGAUCCAAUCUCUUUUAUUUGAUUGAUUGUUGAAUCUAUUGAUGAGUGAGCCGUUCAGCCAGAUUCCCCAGCAGCAAGGUCAGCGGACUGUGAUUCCUCAGCGGGGAGGCUGGGGUCUGUGUGGAGGAGACUCCUCUUGGCAGGAGCAGUUUGAGUAUGCAGAACACAUCGGCACAGCCUAGAGCUGGCAGUUAGUGUAUGCGCGACACACACACACACACACACACACACACACACACACACACACACACACACACACACACACACACCAGUGCUUUCCCCUCAAGUGAGGCAGCGUUAGCAACUGCAGUCCCAGCUUCCUCUGCUGAGGUACAAGCGGCCACUGCCUGAUUUGUUGGAGGAGCGCUAGAGUCCAGUAUCUGAGGGACUGGUAACACGCAGCUGUCACAGCUAGUGGCAGACAGCCCACUUCUUCCCAGCUGCUUCGCCAGCCCUGGCAAGAGGGCAUACUCUUCCAAAAGCCAGCCUGCCUGGUGAGGAGGUUGCUUCACACUGAAGUGUCCAUUUUGCUAGGAGAUGGAUGCUAAGAUGUAAACUGACUGAUCACCCGAAGUAACUGUCUCACCACAUCAAUCUAUUGAUUCUCACUGCAUGGAGUGAAGAAGAAACCACCAGAUCAGGAAAAUGACAGAAAGUGUACGUGAUGUGGCCACCAAACCAGAAAACAUGAUCGGGGAACGGGAAUAAAUGGUAGGUGCACUGUUGCAUGGAGAAGGCGGAAUUAGUUCCCUGCAUGCUUCAUUAAUCUGCAUUUAGUCAUUGUUGCCUUUGUACAAAGAGAAAGGCAAAAUUCUUAUUUCAGUAUUCUAUCUUAUGUCUUCACAACACUCAAUAUUAUUUGAAACAGUCCUGUUCAACUAUUUAAAAUCUUGAGUAUUAAUUCUUCCCCUCAUAAGAAUGUAAGCUCCAUGAUAGCACGUACCUUUCCUGUCUUUAUUGAAUGAAUGAAUAAAUACCUUUAUAUUCAAACAGGAUAAAUUCUACCUUAUAUCAUAUAUUCAUUCACUGAAUCAUUUAAAGAAUGUGUGUUGUAUGCUGAAGUAGGUAUAUUCACAUAAUAUAUGCACACAAGUAUGCACAAACAAUAGGCAAAUUUGCAUAACAAGUGAGGUAGUAAGCUUCAAAUAGUGGUUGGACCUCUGCCUUGUGUCAUGAACUCGGAAAGCUCCACAGCUUUCUGUGCCUCUCUCGUCACAUCUAUAAAAUGCUAAAGUAUGCUGGCUUUAGCCUGCCCCAGCAAUAGCAUGUACUCUGUUGCUUCUGCCCUGACUUAGGGCUGGACCACUGAGAAUCUGGCCUGGUAGAAAGUAGGUGAUUUUCUCCUACUAAAACACAGCAUCUAGACACAGCCUACAGAUCGCACACCAGAUGCUCCCUUUGCAUGUUUAUAAGCAAAAUUGGGCACUUUCAGGAGCCCCAGGACGCGACAGGGAUCUGUCCACUAUCAGGUGUGAUUGUGGGGCUAGAUUGGCUGCUGUCUGGGCCCUUGGUUCUCCCUCCAGUCUCCACAGAAAGAGGACCCUGGUCCUCAGACUCUGGUCUGCUGUGGACUUGGCACAUAGUAAGUCUGCUAACCCCUUUCCUGGAGUCUAGGCCCUGUGCUUGGCUUUCUAGAUAUUACUUUAGUAUCUCCAAGUUCUAUAGGUUGGCCAAACUCCAGAUGCCCUAACUCCUUACAUCUGAUGCCUUAAAUGCUGACAUUUCAAGCCAAGCUUAAGUUUUUCUACAACUCUUCUGAAUCUCCCAAGUCGAAUAGCUGACAGAUUCAAAAGAGAUGUGAAAAAAUUUAAGCUUGAUCCUCCCUUAUCACAAUUAGUCUGGUGAAUUUCCCUCAGUUACCACACUGUACUCACUACUGUUUCAGUGCUAUGUAAAGGGGAAAGAUGGUUAUAAACUGUGUAGCAUCUUGUUUGUGUUUAUAUGUAUUUAGGACAGAUCUAACAGGAGUCAUUGAAUACCCUUGCAAAAUAAAGUCCCUUUGAGAUGUGAAGAGUGUAAUUUGCAAGAUCAGUUGCAAACAAUCUCCACUAAUCAUUAAAUACAAGGUGCAUUCACUCCUCAGGUGGGUAG
Molecule: non-coding RNA, 2111 nt
Organism: Macaca mulatta (Rhesus monkey)
Lineage: Eukaryota; Metazoa; Chordata; Mammalia; Primates; Cercopithecidae
Source: RefSeq, a predicted model, not a curated record